GACGAACGCUGGCGGCGUGCUUAACACAUGCAAGUCGUACGGUAAGGCCCUUUCGGGGGUCCACGAGUGGCGAACGGGUGAGUAACACGUGAGUAACCUGCCCACAACUUUGGGAUAACGCUAGGAAACUGGUGCUAAUACUGGAUAUGUGCUCCUGCUGCAUGGUGGGGGUUGGAAAGCUCCGGCGGUUGUGGAUGGACUCGCGGCCUAUCAGCUUGUUGGUGGGGUAGUGGCCUACCAAGGCGGCGACGGGUAGCCGGCCUGAGAGGGUGACCGGCCACAUUGGGACUGAGAUACGGCCCAGACUCCUACGGGGGGCAGCAGGGGGGAAUAUUGCACAAUGGGCGCAAGCCUGAUGCAGCAACGCCGCGUGCGGGAUGACGGCCUUCGGGUUGGAAACCGCUUUCAGCAGGGACGAAGCUUUUUGUGACGGUACCUGCAGAAGAAGCACCGGCUAACUACGUG
This 465-nucleotide ribosomal RNA is filed under the name uncultured bacterium. RNAcentral's name for it is "partial 16S ribosomal RNA". It matches the Rfam family "Bacterial small subunit ribosomal RNA", at positions 28 to 507 of the family's 1533-position model. The record is from RNAcentral.